Molecule: small RNA, 1311 nt
Filed under: Oryza sativa Japonica Group (Japanese rice)
Lineage: Eukaryota; Viridiplantae; Streptophyta; Magnoliopsida; Poales; Poaceae
Description: sRNA Os04g0428002
Source: RNAcentral
GGCAAGGCAAGAUAUUUGUUAACGAGGUUUAGCCGAAGCCUAUAUCUCAAGACACUAAUUAUUGGUGUUCCUCCCCAAUCUAAUAUAAUUAUAGGUUGUGUUUGAUACAUGAGAUUGGUAACCCAUCUCCUCCGCACGGAAAAUAGAGCGGUCCAUUAGCGCGUGAUUAAUUAAGUAUUAGCUAUUUUAAAAAAAAAUAUUAAUUUGAUUUUUUAAGCAACUUUCGUAUAGAUAUUUUUUGCAAAAAAAAACACACCAUUUAGCAGUUUGAAAAGUGCGUGCGUGGAAAACGAGGGACAGGGGUUGGGAACACCCUUAAACGAACGCAGCCAUAGUGUAUUAGUGUAUUCACGAUCAUUGACCAGCUAAGUCGUCAGCCAGUCAACCCUCUCCUAUGCUAUUGUUGUCAUGCAUUUACAACGGAUGUAUCUCUACAUAUAUUUAAGAGAGAGAGAGUCGGACUCUGACUCUAACUAUAACUAUAUCAUAACACAUAUUACAACUCUAACUAAAAAAUGGUAACCAACUUUGUAUAUAUAUUCGAUACAAACUCUAACAGAUACCACCUAAUGUUAUUUCUAGUGCAUCUGGUAUGUUACCCUACCAUACAUCAUGAGGACCAUACAUUAAUAAUACCCCCUUUGACUAGGGCUCCUGUCCCCCCUCCUUUCUGGAAAAACAAUAUCAUGUGAAACCAUUAUAUAUCAAAAUAACCCAUGUUUUAUAAAUCAAGGAUAACAUUAACCAUGUAUUUAUUUGUGGCUCAAAUAAAUAUGGUUUCUACCUACAUAUACCAUACCUGAUCGAACAGCUAGACGAUGUUUGUCGAGACCCAACAAUGUAAUGUCAUGAUUGUCAACAGUACUUGCAACAAUUUUCGUAGGUAUGUGAGUCAUUAGGAAUUAGCUUUGCACGAGUUGUGCUUUGUAUGGGAACUACACACGGGCUUACUGAGCUUUUUGGGCUCAAUUUGUUUCGAUCAUGUAAAGUUUUUCUUCUGUAACAUAGUAUAGAAUUCCUUUAGUUUUCCCAUCCAAACUUGUGUGAACCAAAGUAUCACUGUCCGCUCAUUGCCCACUGGCUGUUCGAAAACUGGCAGUAAUGGUUAUGAGCCAGGCAGUGAUUCUGUACCCUGUACUAGUGAACUAUACGUCAGGACAUGGGAGUAUAGGUUACUCAUGCACGUAUAUAACUACAUUGCAGUUAAAUUGCAUGCAACAUGUGUGUAGCUUCAUCUGUAUCUUUACUACUUAAAAAAUUCGUAGUGAUGGUGGUGAGUCCUGAACGAUCGAAGGGUUAACAUUCAUCGAA